GAUGAACGCUGGCGGCGUGCCUAAUACAUGCAAGUCGAGCGAACAGACGAGGAGCUUGCUCCUCUGCCGUUAGCGGCGGACGGGUGAGUAACACGUGGAUAACCUACCUAUAAGACUGGGAUAACUUCGGGAAACCGGAGCUAAUACCGGAUAAUAUAUUGAACCGCAUGGUUCAAUAGUGAAAGACGGUUUUGCUGUCACUUAUAGAUGGAUCCGCGCCGCAUUGGCUAGUUGGUAAGGUAACGGCUUACCAAGGCAACGAUGCGUAGCCGACCUGAGAGGGUGAUCGGCCACACUGGAACUGAGACACGGUCCAGACUCCUACGGGAGGCAGCAGUAGGGAAUCUUGCGCAAAGGGCGAAAGCCUGACGGAGCAACGCCGCGUGAGUGAUGAAGGUCUUCGGAUCGUAAAACUCUGUUAUUAGGGAAGAACAAAUGUGUAAGUAACUAUGCACGUCUUGACGGUACCUAAACAGAAAGCCACGGCUAACUACGUG
This 497-nucleotide ribosomal RNA is filed under the name uncultured bacterium. RNAcentral's name for it is "partial 16S ribosomal RNA". It matches the Rfam family "Bacterial small subunit ribosomal RNA", at positions 28 to 507 of the family's 1533-position model. The record is from RNAcentral.